CUACGGGAGGCAGCAGUGGGGAAUUUUGGACAAUGGGCGCAAGCCUGAUCCAGCCAUGCCGCGUGCAGGAAGAAGGCCUUCGGGUUGUAAACUGCUUUUGUCAGGGAAGAAAUCCCUUGGGUUAAUACCUCGGGGGGAUGACGGUACCUGAAGAAUAAGCACCGGCUAACUACGUGCCAGCAGCCGCGGUAAUACGUAGGGUGCAAGCGUUAAUCGGAAUUACUGGGCGUAAAGCGUGCGCAGGCGGCUUUGCAAGACAGAGGUGAAAUCCCCGGGCUCAACCUGGGAACGGCCUUUGUGACUGCAAAGCUGGAGUGCGGCAGAGGGGGAUGGAAUUCCGCGUGUAGCAGUGAAAUGCGUAGAUAUGCGGAGGAACACCGAUGGCGAAGGCAAGCCCCUGGGCCUGUACUGACACUCAUGCACGAAAGCGUGGGGAGCAAACAGGAUUAGAUACCCCUGUAGUCC
RNAcentral lists this ribosomal RNA (465 nucleotides) under uncultured bacterium. RNAcentral's name for it is "bacterial SSU rRNA". It matches the Rfam family "Bacterial small subunit ribosomal RNA", at positions 339 to 796 of the family's 1533-position model. The record is from RNAcentral.